AUUGAACGCUGGCGGCAUGCCUUACACAUGCAAGUCGAACGGCAGCACGGGAGCAAUCCUGGUGGCGAGUGGCGAACGGGUGAGUAAAGUAUCGGAACGUGCCCAGUCGUGGGGGAUAACGUAGCGAAAGUUACGCUAAUACCGCAUACGAUCUAUGGAUGAAAGCGGGGGAUCGCAAGACCUCGCGCGAUUGGAGCGGCCGAUAUCAGAUUAGGGAGUUGGUGGGGUAAAGGCUCACCAAGCCGCCGAUCUGUAGCUGGUCUGAGAGGACGACCAGCCACACUGGGAGUGAGACACGGCACAGACUCCUACGGGAGGCAGCAGUGGGGAAUUUUGGACAAGUGGCGAAAGCCUGAUCCAGCCAGGCCGCGUGCAGGAUGAAGGCCUUCGGGUUGUAAACUGCUUUUGUACGGAACGAAAAGGUUUGGCCUAAUAAGCUGAGCUCAUGACGGUACCGUAAGAAUAAGCACCGGCUAACUACGUGCCAGCAGCCGCCGUAA
RNAcentral lists this ribosomal RNA (500 nucleotides) under uncultured bacterium. RNAcentral describes it as "partial 16S ribosomal RNA". It matches the Rfam family "Bacterial small subunit ribosomal RNA", at positions 29 to 523 of the family's 1533-position model. The record is from RNAcentral.